This is an RNA transcript of Nomia melanderi (Alkali bee), 2109 nucleotides long. It is a transcript of the gene named glycerol-3-phosphate phosphatase, with no coding region annotated. The record is from RefSeq and is a predicted model, not a curated record. NCBI's taxonomy places the organism in Eukaryota, Metazoa, Arthropoda, Insecta, Hymenoptera, Halictidae.
UCAACUAUUUAGACGUCAUGUCAUAAAUUUUACAUGUUUUCUUACUUUUCAUGUUUCACUUAACUUUAAGUUUUACUAAUCUUCGAAGCUUGUAUCGUUCGAGGAAUCGAUUAAAUUGCGAAAUACGGAUAUUUCUUGAAAACCUAAAACUUUGUAAUUCAAAUUUACGUAAGUAAACGGUGCUGACAAAGUAAGAAAAAAAGAUUUACAAGUCUAGUGCAAACAGCAAAUUCAACUUAAAUAAACAUAGGUGUUAAAUUGUUUCUUAGCAUGGCUGCAAUAAAUUUUAAAACACUAAAUAAUGAUGAAGUUACUGAAUUUUUUAACUCUUUUGAUACUGUGCUUACUGACUGUGAUGGUGUACUUUGGAUGUAUAUGACCCCUUUACCACGUGCUGCAGAAGUAAUUAGUUCUUUUAUGUCUGCUGGAAAAAGAGUUUUUUAUGUUACUAAUAAUAGUACAAAGACUAGGGAAGAAUUUGUUGAGAAAUGUAAAAUACUAAAUUUUAAAGCAUCAAAAGAAGAUAUUUUAUGUACUGCAAAUUUAUCUGCUUGUUAUUUACAAGAUCUGGGUUUUAAUAGAAAAACUUAUAUUAUAGGUUCAGAAGCUAUUGCAAAGGAAUUGCAUGAAGUUGGAAUUUCAAGUACUGGUGUAGGACCAGAUCCUGUUAAUAAAAAUGUACCUUAUAAUACUUUUGUAAAGGAUCCUGAAGUGGGUGCAGUUAUAGUUGGUUUCGAUGAACACUUUAGUUAUCCCAAAAUGGUAAAAGCAGCUUCAUAUUUAAGUGAUCCCAAUGUAUAUUUUAUUGGCACAAAUACAGAUGAAAGGUUUCCUGUUGCUAACAAUGUUGUCAUACCUGGUACUGGAAGUUUGGUACGGUGCAUAGAAAGUUGUUCAGAAAGGAAAGCUACUGUAAUGGGUAAACCAGAGCCUUAUAUAGCAGAUAUAUUAAUAAAAAGAUUUAAAGUUAAUCCUAAACGUACCUUAAUGAUUGGUGAUCGGCAUAACACAGAUAUACUACUAGGAACUAGAUGUGGAUUUAAAACAUUGCUAGUCUUAACAGGAAUUACCACUUCUGAGGAUGUAAAUAGGUGGAAACAAUCGGAGUGUGUAGAAGAGAAAGACUUUAUUCCUGAUUAUUAUAUUAAUGAAAUUGGAGAUCUUUUACCUUACUUACAAAAAUUUAAGAAUAAAUGUGCAAUGUAGUAUACAUAAAAUACAAUAUUAUUUUCUAUGAAAAUAUUUUGCAACUGUAUAAUCUAAUUGAAACAAAAUGUCUUUAGAUAGUAAAUAUAUUCAUUGAAUGUAAUAUAUAUAUAAUAGUUACAGGUAUAUUGAAAUGUAUAUUACAAUUAUAGUUAUUUAUGUACCAUUGAUUUCAAUUGUGAUUAUAUAGAAUCUAAAGUUUUAUCUAACCUUAUUUUGUUUCUUUAAAAGUUAUGAUUUCAUGAAGUUUCAUACAUUUCAUAACAUAAAUUUGCAUUCCUAAAUAUUUUAUUUAACUAUGUGUUUCAUAGGUUAUUUUGUUGUAAAUAUGUAUUAAAAGUAUAUAAUAAAUAGUUACAAUCGGAAAUAUAGAUAUCGAAAAGAAUAAAAAAUAUUGUUGUUCUUGCUAUCAUAUUAAGUAACACAUUACGUUGUCAUCAAUUGUACCUAUUGGUAGUUGUGAAUGAAGUAAGUGUACAAUUUAUACCCCCGUAUUAUGUAAUAGACGAGCAAGGUCACGUUGCAAAUGCGUGGCUAUCAGCCAGGAACACACUCUGUCGAAGAUCAUCUUUCGAGUUGUAUCAGUGGAUUACUGAUAAAGAAGAUAUCGUGCCUGGAUAGCAGACUUCGUUUUAAGAAGACUAAUUCACAGACAAUUACAAAAUGACAACGAAAAAGAUAACAUCAUUAUCGAAAGACGAAUUUAAACAAUUCCUUGAAUCUUUUGACGUAGUUUUAUCAGACUGUGAUGUAAACCUUAGGCGUACUAUGGAAAGAAACCGAAGUGAUAGAAGGGUCACCUGAAACUGUAAACAAAUUUAAACAGUUAGGUAAGAAGUUCUUCUACAUAACAAACAACAACACCAAAACUAGACCCGAGUUUGUAGAGAAAUGUAAAGAGCU